ACGAGUGUGUCAUUGGCCCGGAAACCGCUCUUUUUCGCUAAAGCUCUAAAUCAUUUUGUGUGGAAUCUGCCGAUUGUAUUUACCGAAAUGGCAAACACAAGAGAGACACAGGGGGCAAAUGUCUUCUUAACUGCCACUAAAGGCUAAUAAAUAUGAUUCCGUCGCAGGUUCGUGGGCAGACCUGUGGUCCUUCACAGAUUCAAACACGUCGAGACAUAUUUGAAAACUAAAACAAACUAAUGGAAUGGGGAGCUGCUGUAGUGUUGACUGCUAAUGUGCAAUUUCGGACAGAGGAACAUGAUUAUAAUACGCAACUCAGUUGGUAAAUGGUUAAAUUCAACAGUCAGGUUAACGUUAAUAACGUUGGAAUGCGGAGUGCUCGGGCAAUUGGCUGGUUAACAGCGGCAGCUCAACGGGCCAAUCAGAGCGCAGCAGCAGAGAAGCUGUCUGCUAUUAGAGGCACGGCUCAGGAGUCCUUCAACAGAGAGCAGAGAGAGGGGGCCGCGCGCUCUCGGCAGCCAUUUUCCUAAAACAGGACUCAAUGGCCUAUAUGGGUUUCCUUUGUUCCAAAAGGGAUCUUACACUUGAUUUCCUCAUCUCUCACGGACUAUGAUAAAACUAUGAUUCCUCCUUUUAAAGGAUUGAGAAGAAGGAAGAGAAUGUACUGGAUGUAAUACUCUGUGACAUCUUGAGCCUUUUUUCCUCUGCCUGGAAUCCAUCUUUGUCUUAACUAGGUCAUGGCACACCCAUAUAAUAGUAUUUAUAUUUCUUAAGUGAAAAGAAACCUUAUGUUGUGAAUAAAAAGCUGUAUUAUUUGGAUAUGUUAAAUUAGGAAAAAAACACAGUUAAAGUGACAAUGUGUAGGCUAAUGGCUGAUUGUUGGCAUUGCACUCAUGGCCUUGUAGGAUAUGAGUAGCAAUGAGUAAAUUCAACUCUUAUAAUAAUUCAACAGUUUUGCUGAUCUGGUAAUGUACAAUGUGAGGCAUGUAGUUACUGUUAUCGAAAGUGAUUUUAUCUGAGCUUUCAUCAAUUUGAUCACAUGCAAAUCUUGGCAUCUGUAAUAGACAACUUUACUGAAUAUGUUCACUGGCAUGCUGACAUAUAGAUAUAGUUCAGGAUACAGUCCAGGUUAAAUGCCACUGCUCAUCAAAUGACAGAAAGCAGGCCAUGAUAACUAAUGGCCUUUUGCAAACUAGUUUAUUGUGCUACCUGUCUGUAAUUUUGAUUGUUGAUAGCUCAUUUUCUUUGAUUAAUGACUUUAAACACUUUCCUCUCACAACAGCAACGCUGGUGGCUUGUGUGUGUUUAUACCCUUCCUACAACAGUGGAGACAACUUCAAGCACGGUUAGGUUUGUGCUGUCCAUUUUCCAUUUAAAAUGUGUCCUAAGUGUAAUCGUUGGCUUGACCUUGCUUCAAGGGCACAUUUAAAUGUAUUUUAAGAAGCCAAUUUAGGUAGCCCUUAACAGUUUCUACAACGUUUAAAAAAUGGACUUUCAAACCAUGAAGAGGAAACAGAUGGAGGGAAAACUCUUAUGGUGAAAAUAUUUACCUCAGCACUUUGGUGAAAUGCAGUUAACAGGCCUAAACGCAGGGACAGGAGGAAUGUUUUCAGCUCCAUCUUCGGAUCCUCUAAUAAUGGCAUUAAUAAGGGGUGGGAUAGCGUCUCCUGAAAAAGAAGGAUUCCAUUAGUACGAAAGAUAGAACGCUCUUUUGAAAACUUUUUGAUCAGUGGUAGGCAUUGCCUCUCAGCCAGCGAAUAUGCAUCUUCAAGCAUCAUCUGUGUGGGCAAUAUGCAAACCAUCUCUCUCUCUCUCCUUGAAGACAGGAUUGCAGUCAAGUAUUACCUCUUCCAUUUCGACAUUUUCUAACUGAGCUACAUCAUAUAAAACCACAAGGAAAUGUUGUUUUGAAAGGUAAUGGAUUUUGAGCUAUUUCACUUAAUUUGCCAUUUUAUGUCUAGCCUAAGUGUUCAAAUAGUGGACAGACAAUAAAUAAUUGUGGUUUAAACGUUAUCAGCAAAACUAACGUUAUUUUGACUUUAAAAGAAAAUGUGAACUGUUACCCAUAUUUUUUGGAUUGAUAUAGUAAACUUACAGUUUAGUAUUCAAAACAUGUAAUCCAAGUCUCAAACGAGCAAAGGAAUCUUAUGGGGAGAAAUCUCGUAAAUUUCACUGCUUCCCUUGUCCAAAGAGACCCUUUGGUAAUGUGUAGACUAGACGUGUGCAAUGGGUUAUCUGCUGUUCUCUUGCCUCAAAAUGGCUGCUCUACAGACAAAGGAGAGCACUGUGCUGUGAUAUGUUGCUGCGCCAUAACUGGGAGAGGCUCUUCGCUCGGUGAGAGAGCCUCGUUCUAAGAACAUUUCUCGGUGAUUCAACAGAAAAUCUUAACACAUACCGACAUGGGGGGGAUUUUACUCGAAUGUAUGUAUUUUUAACAACAAGUAAAGUAGAAGAAAAAAACAGUCGACAGUGCAUGAAAGGGAAGUACACGUUAAUACAUUUGGCUGUCGGUUGUUGGGCUGACUCGCCCUGGCAACGGCAGUAAUCCGAGAGCUCUGGACGGUUGCCAUGAGAGCUCGAGCGUGCUGUUGCUCCCCCACACUACCAUAUAAGGUCAUCAGGAAUCCUCUGCAGCAGGAUGCAGCCCUGUUGUUUUGUCACUAGAAAGAGUAGGUGCUUCGGGCUGUCUCGAGACAUAGAACGACGGAUCACUAACGUCGAGUGUUUUAAAUGCUAGCCUACAGAUUAGAAAAUACAAACUAACAAAGAUGCGAUUCUAUCUUUUGUUCGGUGAACGAGUUGAAAAUAGACAGAGGGGGGUCUUUAGGUGGACUACUAUGGUCCCUGUUACGCACACCCUUUUUAGUGUGUGAGCGUGUACAUAGAGCUAUGUACACAAAAUCGUUUUCGGUGCGUGACAGAGGCCUGUUUUUCUUGUUGUCCUCUCCUUGCUCGGUCUGCCGAGUGCGCGCGUUCCUCCGUUUGCAGGUCACGAGGCUGCAGACAGCAUUCCUCUCAGUCAAUCCUGUUUCGAGACCCCCCCACUCCCAGUGCAAUGGGGACACAGUUGUGAAGAAGGUUUUAUGUGUGUAACAAGGGUGAACAUUUUGCGUUCACAUCAGCCCAUGAGGUUAUUUAUAGGCCUUUGUUAAAAAAGAACCUCCCGGGUGGAUUGCGCAAUGCUUUUAGCUUUGCGCGCCGCUGACAGACUGGAAUAUUCCACACAGGAUUGGCCUCUCUUCUGCACGACAGCUGUCUCUGCACGGCGAAAAAACUAUUUUUGACAAUUGUUUCUAUUUAUUAAUUGAUGAAAAGGGGCUUUACACGUAUGGAUAUUUGUACACCUACAGGACAAUUUAAUAUCCUUUUAUAUGCUACGUUAUUCACAUGUUAGGCUGGCAGUUUCACCUUGUAAGUCAAACAAGCACUCUUCAUUUUUUAUACAGGGAUUUUCAUAGUUUGUACUAUAUCAUACCCUAUUGUAGAAGCAUAUAGACCACACGGGAACGGUUUUAUGGCUAUUUCUAUGCAGUCAGAAUGAUCAGGCAGCCAGGCAAACUGCUAUAUCCCGUCUUUCUUUUUAUGCUCAGCCUUUUUAUUCUGACGGAUUUUUUACUGAAUCAAAUAAGGUAUCCUGUGUGUGUGUGUGUUUUUUUUUUUUAAAUCUAUGGGUACACUUGCUCAUUCAAGGAUUUUUAAUUAGUAGUAGGCCUACUAUAUUUUAUUUAAAACGUUGGCUUUUCUUCUUUCAAGGCUUUUCUUCUAGGUCAUGUGCAUGCAUUAUUAGUGUAAUAUUAUUUAUCUGUGAUCUCUAUACUUGGCAAAUCAUAUUAUCCCCUGUCUGUGUUUCUGAGAUUUUUAAAUAAAUAGAAUAUACCCUACUUUAUGUUUUAUUCUUGUGGAAACUGAAUUUAUCAAUUUUGAAGUUUAAAUAUAUGUUUCCUUUCUUUCUUUCUUUAAAACGGUAUUUUACCCUGUAAGACAGACACACACUAAAACACACAAUAGACAUAGUUCACGCUACAGGGUGAAAUUUUUACACAUAUUUCUUUUUAUAGGUGAAACUCCCUUUUAGUUUUUUGUAGUAAGUGUGCGUAUUCUGGCAAAAAUACUUAAGAUGACAUGUUUUCUUAAAAUAGUCAAAGUAAGGACAGUGUCAGCUCAUCCUCUUAAAGGGACAGCUUGCUCAAAUUUUCACCAAAAAUAGCACUUGUGCUGCAACCUGGUACAAUGCGUCUCUUCUUGUUCUUAAUUACUAAAG
This is a long non-coding RNA of Etheostoma cragini (Arkansas darter), 4261 nucleotides long. RefSeq lists it as uncharacterized. The transcript is spliced from 3 exons. NCBI's taxonomy places the organism in Eukaryota, Metazoa, Chordata, Actinopteri, Perciformes, Percidae. The record is from RefSeq and is a predicted model, not a curated record.